UGGGGAAUUUUGCACAAUGGGGGAAACCCUGAUGCAGCGACGCCGCGUGAUUUAGAAGGCCUUCGGGUUGUAAAAAUCUUUUCUAUGGGAAGAAAAUGACAGUACCAUAGGAAUAAGGACCGGCUAAUUACGUGCAAGCAGCCGCGGUAAUACGUAAGGUCCGAGCGUUGUCCGGAAUCAUUGGGCGUAAAGGGUACGUAGGCGGGUAAGCAAGUUAGAAGUGAAAUCCUAUAGCUCAACUAUAGUAAGCUUUUAAAACUGCUCAGCUUGAGGUAUGUAAGGGAAAGUGGAAUUCCUAGUGUAGCGGUGAAAUGCGCAGAUAUUAGGAGGAAUACCGGUGGCGAAGGCGACUUUCUGGCCAUAACCUGACGCUGAGGUACGAAAGCGUGGGUAGCAAACAGG
This 402-nucleotide ribosomal RNA is filed under the name bacterium. RNAcentral's name for it is "partial 16S ribosomal RNA". It matches the Rfam family "Bacterial small subunit ribosomal RNA", at positions 355 to 776 of the family's 1533-position model. The record is from RNAcentral.